Molecule: long non-coding RNA, 1190 nt
Filed under: Phasianus colchicus (ring-necked pheasant)
Lineage: Eukaryota; Metazoa; Chordata; Aves; Galliformes; Phasianidae
Description: lncRNA (ENSPCLG00000017816.1)
Source: RNAcentral
CGCUAUGGGGCAGCUGUAGGGCAGCCAUGGGGCAGCUGUGGGGUCACUAUGGGGCAGCUGUGGGGUCUCUGUGGGGCAGCUAUGGGGCAGGGCGGCGCUGCAGCCCCACAUCUCCCCACAGAUCGCCAUGGAGUUCUGUGUGGGUUCGGCCGCCGAUCUGCUGCAGCGUGAGUGGGGCUGGGGGCCGAUGUGGGGCGGAUGUGGGGCUGGGGGCGGAUGUGGGGCGGAUGUGGGGCGGAUGUGGGGCGGCUGCUGCUUAUGGGGCCCUAUGGGGUCUUCAUGGGUUUUUUUUGUGUCUCUGUGGGGUCCUUAUAGGGUUCCUUAAGGGUUCCUAUGGGGUCCCUAUGGGUCUGUCCCUGUGGGGUCUCUCUAUGGGGUCUUUCUAUGGGGUCUCUCUAUGGGGUCUUUCUAUGGGGUCUCUGCCUAUGGGGUUUCUGUUUAUGGGGUCUUUUUAUGGGGUUUCUCUGUAUGGGGUGUCUCUAUGGGGUGUUUCUCUAUGGGGUCUCUCUCUAUGGGGUGUCUCUACGGGGUCUCUUUAUGGGGUCGAUUCUUAUGGGGUCUCUCUAUGGGAUUUCUCUCUAUGGGGUCUCUCCCUGUAGGGUCUCUGUUCAUGGGGUGUUUUUCUAUGGGGUCUCUUUAUGAGGUCUCUCUAUGGGGUCCCUAUGGGGUCUGUCCCUAUGGGGUCUCCCUAUGGGGUCUCCCUAUGGGUCCCUAUGGGGUCCCUAUGGGGUGUCCCUAUGGGGUGUCCCUAUGGGGUCUCCCUAUGAGGUCCCUAUGGGGUCUGUCCCUAUGGGGUCUCUCUAUGGGGUCUCUCUAUGGGGUUCCUAUGGGGUCUGUCCCUAUGGGGUCUGUUUAUGGGGUCCCUAUGGGGUCUCUCUAUGGGGUCUGUCCCUAUGUGUCCCUAUGGGGUCUCCCUAUGGGGUCCCUAUGGGGUCUGUCCCUAUGGGGUCUCUCUAUGGGGUCCCUAUGGGUCCCUAUGGGGUGUCCCUAUGGGGUCUCUCUAUGGGGUCUGUCUAUGGGGUCCCUAUGGGGUCUGUCCCUAUGGGGUGUCCCUAUGUGUCCCUAUGUGUCCCUAUGGGGUGUUCCUAUGGGGUGUUCCUAUGGGUCCCUAUGUGUCCCUAUGGGUUCUCUCUAUGUGUCCCUAUGGGGUCUCUCUAUGGGGUCCCUAUGGGGUGUCCCUAUGGGGUCUC